Molecule: ribosomal RNA, 686 nt
Filed under: Hygrophorus carnescens
Lineage: Eukaryota; Fungi; Basidiomycota; Agaricomycetes; Agaricales; Hygrophoraceae
Description: eukaryotic LSU rRNA
Rfam family: 5.8S ribosomal RNA (bases 265-418)
Source: RNAcentral
CAUUAUUGAAUAACAAAACAAAGGUUGUGAGGUUGUCGCUGGCUUUCUAGCAUGUGCACACCUUUCAAACUUGUUCAUUCAUCCUUUACCCACCUGUGCACCCUUUGUAGAUGCUGGGAUUGUUUUAUUUCUUUUUUGGAAAUGUUGGAGAGUUUGCUGAUCUUUUUUGGCUGCUCUUGCUUACCAGCAUCUAUGUUUUUACAAAUACAUACGCAUCAAUAGAAUGUCCAUUAAAUGGCAGCAAUGCCUUUCAAAAUGAAAUACAACUUUCAACAACGGAUCUCUUGGCUCUUGCAUCGAUGAAGAACGCAGCGAAAUGCGAUAAGUAAUGUGAAUUGCAGAAUUCAGUGAAUCAUCGAAUCUUUGAACGCACCUUGCGCUCCUUGGUAUUCCGAGGAGCAUGCCUGUUUGAGUGUCAUUAAAUUCUCAAUCCUUUUUCUGCUUUUGUUAGCUUUGGGAAGGUGAUUGGAUGGUGGGGGUUUUGCGGGCCUUUGUUGGUCAGCUCCUCUCAAAUGCAUUAGCAGGAACCUCUUUUGCGUGACUGUCUCUGGUGUGAUAAAUUAUCUAUGCCAUGCAAAACGCAGCUUUAAUAAGCUGGGGUUCAAGCUCUCUAAUUGUCUUAGACAAAAUUUUGACCCAUUUGANCUCAAAUCAGGUAGGACUACCCGCUGAACUUAAGCAUAUCA